Molecule: long non-coding RNA, 122 nt
Organism: Aquila chrysaetos chrysaetos
Lineage: Eukaryota; Metazoa; Chordata; Aves; Accipitriformes; Accipitridae
Exons: 3
Source: RefSeq, a predicted model, not a curated record
GCUCUAGUAGACACCGGUGCACAGUGUACCCUAAUGCCAUCAAGUUAUAAAGGGGCAGAACCCAUCUGUAUUUCUGGUGUGGCAGGGGGAUCCCAACAGCUAACUACAGGAAAUGUAUUGCA